Molecule: long non-coding RNA, 261 nt
Filed under: Capsicum annuum
Lineage: Eukaryota; Viridiplantae; Streptophyta; Magnoliopsida; Solanales; Solanaceae
Description: long non-coding RNA (CANN_LNC012223)
Source: RNAcentral
GGGGGAGUAAUUAUCAGUGACGUUGAGAGUGUAUAGAACCAAAUUGUUCACUGAGGUGUCAUUUAGUUCAAUAGUGUCACCACAUUUAGUAAUCAGAAAUGAAAGUGUGGGGGUAAUGGCCCCAUAGUUGGUCGUGAAGGAUCUGACACUGACACGCACCCGUUGGCAUUUUUGAAGAGUAGACAUAUAAUCCUACUGACCUUUGCCACCCUGUAGUGUAAUGAUGAUAGUUGGACAGAUUUCGGAUAAGCUUUAUCAUCC